RNAcentral lists this ribosomal RNA (298 nucleotides) under Spirometra erinaceieuropaei. RNAcentral's name for it is "partial 28S ribosomal RNA". It matches the Rfam family "Eukaryotic large subunit ribosomal RNA", at positions 19 to 286 of the family's 3401-position model. Lineage: Eukaryota; Metazoa; Platyhelminthes; Cestoda; Diphyllobothriidea; Diphyllobothriidae. The record is from RNAcentral.
GAUUACCCGCCGAACUUAAGCAUAUCACUAAGCGGAGGAAAAGAAACUAACCAGGAUUCCCCUAGUAACGGCGAGUGAAGAGGGAAUAGCCCAGCACCGAAGCCUGCGGUAGGUUUACUGCUAGGCAAUGUGGUGUUUGGGUCGACUCGCGGGAUUGCCACUCCACUCGAAGUCCAGCACUGAGUAUGGUUCCCUGGAUUUGGCCCAGAGAGGGUGAAAGGCCCGUGCGAGUGGAGGUUCAGACAUGUGAGGCAAUUCACCAGGUCGACCUUCGAGUCGGGGUGUUUGUGAAUGCAGC